ACGUACGCUGGCGGCACGCCUAACACAUGCAAGUCGAACGAAGUAGCAAUACUUAGUGGCAGACGGGUGAGUAACAUGUAGGUAUCUGCCCUUUGGCCUGGAAUAACACGAGGAAACUUGUGCUAAUACCGGAUAAGUCUUUACGGAGAAAGCUUUAUGCACCAUUGGAUGAGCCUGCACUUGAUUAGUUUGUUGGUGGGGUAAUGGCCUACCAAGACUGUGAUCAAUAGCUGAUUUGAGAGGAUGAUCAGCCACAUUGGGACUGAGACACGGCCCAAACUCCUACGGGAGGCAGCAGUGGGGAAUCUUGCACAAUGGAGGAAACUCUGAUGCAGCGAUGCCGCGUGAGUGAAGAAGGCCCUUGGGUUGUAAAGCUCUUUCGUCGGGGAAGAAAAUGACUGUACCCGAAUAAGAAGGUCCGGCUAACUUCGUGCCAGCAGCCGCGGUAAUACGAAGGGACCUAGCGUAGUUCGGAAUUACUGGGCUUAAAGAGUUCGUAGGUGGUUGAAAAAGUUAGUGGUGAAAUCCCAGAGCUUAACUCUGGAACUGCCAUUAAAACUUUUCAGCUAGAGUAUGAUAGAGGAAAGCAGAAUUUCUAGUGUAGAGGUGAAAUUCGUAGAUAUUAGAAAGAAUACCGAUUGCGAAGGCAGCUUUCUGGAUCAUUACUGACACUGAGGAACGAAAGCAUGGGUAGCGAAGAGGAUUAGAUACCCUCGUAGUCCAUGCCGUAAACGAUGUGUGUUAGACGUUGGAAAUUUAUUUUCAGUGUCGCAGGGAAACCGAUAAACACACCGCCUGGGGAGUACGACCGCAAGGUUAAAACUCAAAUGAAUUGACGGGGACCCGCACAAGUAGUGGAGCAUGUGGUUUAAUUCGAAGAUACGCGCAGAACCUUACCAACACUUGACAUGUUCGUCGCGACUCUAAGAGAUUAGAGUUUUCGGUUCGGCCGGACGAAACACAGGUGCUGCAUGGCUGUCGUCAGCUCGUGUCGUGAGAUGUUGGGUUAAGUCCCGCAACGAGCGCAACCCUCACUUUUAGUUGCCAUCAUUAAGUUGGGCACUCUGAAAGAACUGCCAGUGAUAAGCUGGAGGAAGGUGGGGAUGACGUCAAGUCCUCAUGGCCCUUACGUGUUGGGCUACACACGUGCUACAAUGGUAUCUACAACAGGAAGCAAGACUGCGAAGUUAAGCAAAUCCCUAAAAGAUACCUCAGUUCGGAUUGCACUCUGCAACUCGAGUGCAUGAAGCUGGAAUUACUAGUAAUCGUGGAUCAGCGUGCCACGGUGAAUGCGUUCCCGGGUCUUGUACACACCGCCCGUC
RNAcentral lists this ribosomal RNA (1322 nucleotides) under uncultured Alphaproteobacteria bacterium. RNAcentral describes it as "bacterial SSU rRNA". It matches the Rfam family "Bacterial small subunit ribosomal RNA", at positions 29 to 1398 of the family's 1533-position model. The record is from RNAcentral. Lineage: Bacteria; Pseudomonadati; Pseudomonadota; Alphaproteobacteria.